AACGAACGCUGGCGGCGCGCCUAAUACAUGCAAGUCGAGCGAGAAGACGUAGCAAUACGUUUGUAAAGCGGCGAACGGGUGAGGAAUACAUGGGUAACCUACCCUCGAGUGGGGAAUAACUAGCCGAAAGGUUAGCUAAUACCGCGUACGCUCCUUGGACUUCGGUUCAGGGAGGAAAGCGAUACCGUGGGUAUCGCGCUCUUGGAUGGGCUCAUGUCCUAUCAGCUUGUUGGUGAGGUAACGGCUCACCAAGGCUUCGACGGGUAGCUGGUCUGAGAGGACAAUCAGCCACACUGGCACUGCGACACGGGCCAGACUCCUACGGGAGGCAGCAGUAAGGAAUAUUGCGCAAUGGGCGAAAGCCUGACGCAGCGACGCCGCGUGGGGGAUGAAGGUCUUCGGAUUGUAAACCCCUUUCGGGAGGGAAGAUGGACGAGCAAUCGUUCGGACGGUACCUCCAGAAGCAGCCACGGCUAACUUCGUGCCAGCAGCCGCCGCU
This 499-nucleotide ribosomal RNA is filed under the name uncultured bacterium. Its description in RNAcentral is "bacterial SSU rRNA". It matches the Rfam family "Bacterial small subunit ribosomal RNA", at positions 29 to 522 of the family's 1533-position model. The record is from RNAcentral.